RNAcentral lists this ribosomal RNA (253 nucleotides) under uncultured bacterium. RNAcentral's name for it is "partial 16S ribosomal RNA". It matches the Rfam family "Bacterial small subunit ribosomal RNA", at positions 524 to 776 of the family's 1533-position model. The record is from RNAcentral.
UACGUAGGUGGAAAGCGUUGUCCGGAUUUAUUGGGUUUAAAGGGUGCGUAGGCGGUUUUGUAAGUCAGUGGUGAAAUAUGUCAGCUUAACUGAGAGGGUGCCAUUGAUACUGCAGAACUUGAGUACAGAUGAGGUAGGCGGAAUUGACGGUGUAGCGGUGAAAUGCUUAGAUAUCGUCAAGAACCCCUAUAGCGAAGGCAGCUUACUAGGCUGUAACUGACGCUGAGUCACGAAAGUGUGGGGAUCAAACAGG